Molecule: ribosomal RNA, 2904 nt
Filed under: Klebsiella oxytoca
Lineage: Bacteria; Pseudomonadati; Pseudomonadota; Gammaproteobacteria; Enterobacterales; Enterobacteriaceae
Also listed under: 1 other name
Description: bacterial LSU rRNA
Rfam family: Bacterial large subunit ribosomal RNA
Source: RNAcentral
UUAAGCGACUAAGCGUACACGGUGGAUGCCCUGGCAGUCAGAGGCGAUGAAGGACGUGCUAAUCUGCGAAAAGCGUCGGUAAGGUGAUAUGAACCGUUAUAGCCGGCGAUGUCCGAAUGGGGAAACCCAGUGCAAUUCGUUGCACUAUCGUUAACUGAAUACAUAGGUUAACGAGGCGAACCGGGGGAACUGAAACAUCUAAGUACCCCGAGGAAAAGAAAUCAACCGAGAUUCCCCCAGUAGCGGCGAGCGAACGGGGAGCAGCCCGGAGUCUGAAUCAGCUUGUGUGUUAGUGGAAGCGUCUGGAAAGUCGCAGGGUACAGGGUGAUACUCCCGUACACUAAAACGCACAGGUUGUGAACUCGAAGAGUAGGGCGGGACACGUGGUAUCCUGUCUGAAUAUGGGGGGACCAUCCUCCAAGGCUAAAUACUCCUGACUGACCGAUAGUGAACCAGUACCGUGAGGGAAAGGCGAAAAGAACCCCGGCGAGGGGAGUGAAAAAGAACCUGAAACCGUGUACGUACAAGCAGUAGGAGCCCACUAGUUGGGUGACUGCGUACCUUUUGUAUAAUGGGUCAGCGACUUAUAUUCUGUAGCAAGGUUAACCGUAUAGGGGAGCCGCAGGGAAACCGAGUCUUAACUGGGCGUUAAGUUGCAGGGUAUAGACCCGAAACCCGGUGAUCUAGCCAUGGGCAGGUUGAAGGUUGGGUAACACUAACUGGAGGACCGAACCGACUAAUGUUGAAAAAUUAGCGGAUGACUUGUGGCUGGGGGUGAAAGGCCAAUCAAACCGGGAGAUAGCUGGUUCUCCCCGAAAGCUAUUUAGGUAGCGCCUCGUGAACUCAUCUUCGGGGGUAGAGCACUGUUUCGGCUAGGGGGUCAUCCCGACUUACCAACCCGAUGCAAACUACGAAUACCGAAGAAUGUUAUCACGGGAGACACACGGCGGGUGCUAACGUCCGUCGUGAAGAGGGAAACAACCCAGACCGCCAGCUAAGGUCCCAAAGUCAUGGUUAAGUGGGAAACGAUGUGGGAAGGCCCAGACAGCCAGGAUGUUGGCUUAGAAGCAGCCAUCAUUUAAAGAAAGCGUAAUAGCUCACUGGUCGAGUCGGCCUGCGCGGAAGAUGUAACGGGGCUAAACCAUGCACCGAAGCUGCGGCAGCGACACUAUGUGUUGUUGGGUAGGGGAGCGUUCUGUAAGCCGUUGAAGGUGGCCUGUGAGGGUUGCUGGAGGUAUCAGAAGUGCGAAUGCUGACAUAAGUAACGAUAAUGCGGGUGAAAAACCCGCACGCCGGAAGACCAAGGGUUCCUGUCCAACGUUAAUCGGGGCAGGGUGAGUCGACCCCUAAGGCGAGGCCGAAAGGCGUAGUCGAUGGGAAACAGGUUAAUAUUCCUGUACUCGGUGUUACUGCGAAGGGGGGACGGAGAAGGCUAUGUUGGCCGGGCGACGGUUGUCCCGGUUUAAGCAUGUAGGCGGAUGUUCCAGGUAAAUCCGGAACGUUACUAACGCUGAGGUGUGAUGACGAGGCACUACGGUGCUGAAGUGACAAAUGCCCUGCUUCCAGGAAAAGCCUCUAAGCAUCAGGUAACAUCAAAUCGUACCCCAAACCGACACAGGUGGUCAGGUAGAGAAUACCAAGGCGCUUGAGAGAACUCGGGUGAAGGAACUAGGCAAAAUGGUGCCGUAACUUCGGGAGAAGGCACGCUGAUGGUAAGUGAAGCGACUUGCUCGUGGAGCUGAAAUCAGUCGAAGAUACCAGCUGGCUGCAACUGUUUAUUAAAAACACAGCACUGUGCAAACACGAAAGUGGACGUAUACGGUGUGACGCCUGCCCGGUGCCGGAAGGUUAAUUGAUGGGGUUAUCCGUAAGGAGAAGCUCUUGAUCGAAGCCCCGGUAAACGGCGGCCGUAACUAUAACGGUCCUAAGGUAGCGAAAUUCCUUGUCGGGUAAGUUCCGACCUGCACGAAUGGCGUAAUGAUGGCCAGGCUGUCUCCACCCGAGACUCAGUGAAAUUGAACUCGCUGUGAAGAUGCAGUGUACCCGCGGCAAGACGGAAAGACCCCGUGAACCUUUACUAUAGCUUGACACUGAACACUGGUCCUUGAUGUGUAGGAUAGGUGGGAGGCUUUGAAGUGUGGACGCCAGUCUGCAUGGAGCCAUCCUUGAAAUACCACCCUUUAAUGGCUGGUGUUCUAACGUGGGCCCCUGAUCGGGGUUGCGGACAGUGUCUGGUGGGUAGUUUGACUGGGGCGGUCUCCUCCUAAAGAGUAACGGAGGAGCACGAAGGUCAGCUAAUCCUGGUCGGACAUCAGGAGGUUAGUGCAAUGGCAUAAGCUGGCUUGACUGCGAGCGUGACGGCGCGAGCAGGUGCGAAAGCAGGUCAUAGUGAUCCGGUGGUUCUGAAUGGAAGGGCCAUCGCUCAACGGAUAAAAGGUACUCCGGGGAUAACAGGCUGAUACCGCCCAAGAGUUCAUAUCGACGGCGGUGUUUGGCACCUCGAUGUCGGCUCAUCACAUCCUGGGGCUGAAGUAGGUCCCAAGGGUAUGGCUGUUCGCCAUUUAAAGUGGUACGCGAGCUGGGUUUAGAACGUCGUGAGACAGUUCGGUCCCUAUCUGCCGUGGGCGCUGGAGAAUUGAGGGGGGCUGCUCCUAGUACGAGAGGACCGGAGUGGACGCAUCACUGGUGUUCGGGUUGUCAUGCCAAUGGCAUUGCCCGGUAGCUAAAUGCGGAAGAGAUAAGUGCUGAAAGCAUCUAAGCACGAAACUUGCCCCGAGAUGAGUUCUCCCUGACUCCCUGAGAGUCCUGAAGGAACGUUGAAGACGACGACGUUGAUAGGCCGGGUGUGUAAGCGCAGCGAUGCGUUGAGCUAACCGGUACUAAUGAACCGUGAGGCUUAACCUU